CAGUGGGGAAUAUUGGACAAUGGGCGAAAGCCUGAUCCAGCCAUGCCGCGUGUGUGAAGAAGGUCUUCGGAUUGUAAAGCACUUUAAGUUGGGAGGAAGGGCAUUAACCUAAUACGUUAGUGUYUUGACGUUUACCGACAGAAUAAGCNCCGGCUAACUCUGUGCCAGCAGCCGCGGUAAUACAGAGGGUGCAAGCGUUAAUCGGAAUUACUGGGCGUAAAGCGCGCGUAGGUGGUUUGUUAAGUUGGAUGUGAAAUCCCCGGGCUCAACCUGGGAACUGCAUUCAAAACUGACAAGCUAGAGUAUGGUAGAGGGUGGUGGAAUUUCCUGUGUAGCGGUGAAAUGCGUAGAUAUAGGAASCAACACCAGUKGCGAAGGCGACCA
RNAcentral lists this ribosomal RNA (384 nucleotides) under Pseudomonas sp. enrichment culture. RNAcentral describes it as "bacterial SSU rRNA". It matches the Rfam family "Bacterial small subunit ribosomal RNA", at positions 352 to 727 of the family's 1533-position model. Lineage: Bacteria; Pseudomonadati; Pseudomonadota; Gammaproteobacteria; Pseudomonadales; Pseudomonadaceae. The record is from RNAcentral.